ACAGAUUUGAAACAUUAUGUGAUCUUUUAGGUAGAAUAUUGUAGGGGUGGCUAGAAGUUUCUUUUUAUGUUAGUGCUUAAUCACUGGGAAUAUAUAAAAGGCUAAAUACCUUAUUGCUUUUCUAUCUUUUUAGGCAACAAUUGUGGCAUGUCUUCCAUUAUUGUUACUAUAAUAUAUACUGAAGAACACCUACCACUUCAUCAUAAGUUGUUGUCGUUAUCAUCUAUUGGAAAUUUCACCGAAAGCUCGAAUAAAUAUAAUUAAGAUGCAUUAUAAAUUGCGUGAUUAGUAACAGGGCUGGUAUACAAAUUUGGUUUCAGCCUUCAAAAUAAUACAGUGGAAUAUGUCUUGGAUCGGUGUUUCUUCUAAUUUUGUUUCUUUCCUUAUUCUGCUAGCAAUCGCCUUUUCUUUCCUUUCACGGGUUACUCCAGUUAGUGCAGAUAUGGAAGUGAGAAAACUGGGUGUGAUGCCAAGUCCACCUCCUUCACCUCUGCAUAAUCCACCUCGGCAUAGUCGUCCUCCUCGUCCUCCGCCGCAUCGUCAUCAUCCUCCCCCUCCGGCCUUUUAAAUUUUAAUCUUAUGUAUAUGUAGGAUUUGUGCUUGAGAUAACUUUUUCUUUUUUCGAUAAUCGUUAGUUGUUAGUAUCUUUUUUUCUGUUCAUUUUCGUUACCAAAACGUGUUCCCUUUGGUUCCGUUUGUGGAAUUAAGAAUAUAAUCAAUAGAGGCUUGGAUUGUUUA
RNA transcript from Vigna unguiculata (cowpea), 738 nucleotides. RefSeq lists it as uncharacterized. The record is from RefSeq and is a predicted model, not a curated record. NCBI's taxonomy places the organism in Eukaryota, Viridiplantae, Streptophyta, Magnoliopsida, Fabales, Fabaceae.